RNAcentral lists this ribosomal RNA (467 nucleotides) under uncultured bacterium. Its description in RNAcentral is "partial 16S ribosomal RNA". It matches the Rfam family "Bacterial small subunit ribosomal RNA", at positions 28 to 507 of the family's 1533-position model. The record is from RNAcentral.
GACGAACGCUGGCGGCGUGCUUAACACAUGCAAGUCGAACGGAAAGGCCCUGCUUUUGUGGGGUGCUCGAGUGGCGAACAGGUGAGUAACACGUGAGUAACCUGCCCUUGACUUUGGGAUAACUUCAGGAAACUGGGGCUAAUACCGGAUAGGAGCUCCUGCUGCAUGGUGGGGGUUGGAAAGUUUCGGCGGUUGGGGAUGGACUCGCGGCUUAUCAGCUUGUUGGUGGGGUAGUGGCUUACCAAGGCUUUGACGGGUAGCCGGCCUGAGAGGGUGACCGGCCCCAUGGGGAUGAGGUUCCGGCCCAGCUUCUACCGGAGGGCAGCGGGGGGAAUAUUUCACCAUGGGCCGGAGCCCUGUUCCGCAACCCCGCGUGGCGGAAUGACGGCCUUCGGGUGUUAACCCGCUUUGCCCUGGAACAAGGCGUGGGGACCGUUAAUGGGUAAGAAGCAACGGCUUACUUCGUU